RNAcentral lists this long non-coding RNA (6165 nucleotides) under Marmota monax (woodchuck). Lineage: Eukaryota; Metazoa; Chordata; Mammalia; Rodentia; Sciuridae. The record is from RNAcentral.
CCCAAGUUCAACCAACACGCGUCCUUUAAAAAGCCACAUCGGAAGCGAGUUCUCCUUCCUGUCUCCUUGUGUGCUCUGGAACCACCAUUUCUUUGCUCCAUAGGGAACCUGAGCAUGAUGUCCCGGGUACUGGAGGGGCAACUCUGAAAUAAUCCCUGCUCCCCGCUCCACUGGGAUUAUCUGUAAUCAUGACGGUUUACUACAAAAGGAACGGUAAGUAUCCUCUCUGCCCUGCCGUGGGGGGUGGAGGGACACAAGCAUGCUUGGCUUAUCAAGAGCAUUUUCCAACAGGAAAAUACAUCUUGGUGUUGAAUCUGAUUCUAAAAAUAUCUCCCACCAUCUUGGUCUCUUUUGCAGUCUUAAAUGUGUGAGCGUGUACUCACUGGAUGGGAAUGCAACGCACAGGGUGGGCUUUGUUUCCGAGCAACCCCAAGUGACAGUGGCUUCCCCUCUGGUUCGGGGGCUACUGCUGACAUUAAGGAGGAAUGCAGCAGCUGCAGAAGGUAGCCCGUGCCCUCCUCAAGGAGGGGUUUUAUUAUUGGGGCUCUUACCCAGUUUUAGGCCUCGCUCCUGGGGUAAGUGACUGGACAAUUCGCCAGUUCUCUUACCCGCAGCUGAGGGCAUAGACAGAUACUCAGGGCAAGUGCACUCUGCUCACUGGUUUCCUCGCGUUUCUGUUUCAAGGGUCGGCUUUUGCUUUCCCCAGUGGGAAUAUUUUUAAGGUACUUGGAUGCUUGGCUCAUUUCUACUUUGCCAAGUUUCUGUAAGUUUAAAUCUGGGUGAAAGGAUACGUUCUCUUCCUGUGCUUGAUAAGUCUGAGAAUUUAUUACUUUAGUUUCUCUUUUAUUUAGAAAUUAUUGAGAAAUAUUGCCUUGCCUUAAGAAUCCUUUGGAAACUAUGCACCCUCUACCCAGAUGAGCGUACAUUACACACAGAAUCCAGAUGGUAAUCUCAGGGCAUUGUGAUCUGUCCUGAUCCCAUCCAGGCACCAAGGAAGCCCAGGUCUGUAACUCCAGGGUUAGAAGGUAAAUCCAGGUGCACCCACCCAGAAAGGGCAGCGCUUCCACUGGGAGAAGCGAGGAGAACGUGCUGUCUGCUCGCCUGCGAGCACCGGGGAGGUGGAGGCGGACUCACUGAAGAAGGGGCGGUCACCGGGGAGGACUGCUGAUGCUCAGACUCAUGGUCUCCUCUCGGCCUCCUUGGCUGCUCCCUCUCCUCUGCCUGACCUCCCACCCUCGCAGGACCCAGGGCUUGGGCCUCAGCCUCUUCCUGCUGCACCUCCAGCUGUGACCUAGGAAUGGCACCCAGCCCCACGGCUGCACAUGCCAUCUCUCACCCCUGACUCUCAAAUUUAACUCGGGGCCCCAUCUGCCCACCGCCCUCUGGACUUUUCCACCAGCACGUCAAAAACCAGAUAAAUGAACCAAAUCCAAUUCCUUCCACUCUCUGAUCUGCUCCCCCCACAUACACCAUGCUCCGGGCCUCAGCCCAACAGCCCUCCACCCCUGAUAUUCCACAUCUGGACCAGAACCUCACAAAGCCUGUCUGCCAAGCCUCGUUCUGGCUCCCUCUACCUCGUCUAGACCAACUAGCCAUCUUGCCUAUCUACCUCCCUGUGGGGUAGCCUCUCCUGGAAUCCAGUGACCCUUUCAACACAAACCCCCAAAGCUCCCCAUCCCAGCACUGAGGUGAAGCCCGCGGGGACUGCGUGUUGCAGGAGCCACGAGGUCCCAUUGCUCUGAGUGAUUCCUUCCACAGUCCCAAUUCCGGGUGGCGGGGCAGCCUCGCUGUGUGUUGAGGUCCAAUGGGGCCUGCAAGUUGUCACCCCAGAGCUUGGCACUAGCAGUCCCCUAGGCCAGGUGUGCACUCUGCUCCUCCCCGGCCUCAUUCUGGGCCUCCCUCAGAAGGCCACUCUUGACGAUUAAGAAGCUGUGGUGAAUGUGUGCAAUGACGUCCUACUCAGCCACCAAGAAGAAUGAACUUACAGCAUUCUCCAGGAAGUGGAUGGAAAUGGAGACUCUCACACUCAGUGAAAUUAGUCAAACUCAGAAGCUCAAAGGCUGAGUAUUUUCUCUCAUAUGCAGAAGCCACCCACCCCCGUGACUUAGAGAUCACUGGACUAUCUGAGGGUCUCCGUCUCAAAGGAGGAAGAAUCAUCAACCCAGUGUUAGAUCCACCGAAGACCCCGGACUGUAAAAUACAAAAGGGCUGUGCUAUGGGGAUCGCCAUUCACGAUUCUGUUUAAACCAAGUCGGAGGGAAGUAUUUUAAAUAUCCCUGGAGCUCCCAGAAACGGGAGCCUCCCAGACAGAGAGAUGAAUGUCCCCCGUGGGCACAGCACCAGUGUCGCAGACUCCGUCUGCCUCCACGUGUCUGGCUGGCUGCUCUUGGGAACCGUGCAGCCUCACCUUCCAGACCUCAGUGAGGCUGCAGUCAGGGUGUGGUCCCUUCCAAACAGGUCCCAGUCCCAUGUACACUCCUUGUAGGGGCCUCGAGCAGAAAGGGGCUCAAGCAUCCAUUUAAAUCCACAUCCUCGAAGACGCUCAGCAGAACUGACCCGAGGGUCCUAAGCCCUUGGCCACCAGCAUUAACCCCAGUAUACUCUAGAUCAGUGGUUCCCAAAGUAGGGUCCCUGGCACAGCAGCAUCACCUGGGAGUUUAGAGACAGGCUAGUUCUUGGGGUGCUGCUCAUUAUUACCAAAUCCAACUCCAGGCUGAGGCCUGCUGGUCUUCCAGGUGACAGAAGUGUCCUGCGCAGUGGUGAGCCACUGUCCCAAACCAAGGCUUUGCCCAGACAUUAAUUCCCAGCCCUUCAGAAGGCCCAGAUGAGCUGAAAGUCGGGGGUCCUCAAGCCGGGGGCUCCACGGGUCCUGCUUUCAAGGUGGCCACUCCCGUGAUUCUCCAUUAGGCAAGAGGACUCUUCAGGGAACUGAAUCUGAUUCAGACUUCAGGACUCUAGGAAGCCUUCACCUCCCCUCGUCAGGAAGACAGCCAGAUUGUCCCCACUCUGCAGAAUGUCCCUGAGAACAAUAUGGCUGACAUCAGCCAGUGAAAAGCCAUGGUUAAACCCGUGUUCUUUGCUUCAAGCAUUAUCAGGAAAACAAAAAGGCUUAGACGUCUCCCUGCUGGAGGUAGCCAUUCCAAGUAGUCACUGUCAUUGUCAUCUCUAUAUGUGAAGCUUAAAAAAAAAAAAUUAGUCAGUUAUGUUAAUACAAAAAGGGAACUUUCUAGUGAAGGCUCAAAAUGCAAGGAAUUUGGAUCAGCUGAACCGACUGACGCGUGACUUUGCUACCAGACACACGCCUGCUGAGCAAGAUGGCUCUGUUAGCGUUUCCUCGUGGCCGCAGGUCUAAGUCUCCGUGGGUUGGUGAAAGCAACCUACAGCUAAAACUAUGUCCACAUGCAGCAAGGCCCACGUGUCCCUGGAUUCUGGGAGAUGCAUAAUCGGGGCAUUCUAGAAGCACAGCUUUAAAUGGUCUUUCUGUUCCCGCCUCAUGCAUCUGGGGCCGUGGACGUUAUAUCCAAAUGCAGCCAGAAAAAUGUCCCAUAAAGAACUUUAUUGACAAAAAGGUAAAUUUCUAAUCACCCUUUCAGUAGGCUUCAUUCAGAAGGGGUACUGUGUCAUAAGAGCAGGAUUUUUAUGGCCCUCUUAGGAAUUCUCCAUAUUAAAAGAAUGUUUUCAGUUUAGAGAGAACCCAACUGCAAAACAUUCCUGAACUGUGACCGGCUUUGCCCUGAUCUCACAUUAUGUGGUGGAUCUUUGUCUCCCGGAGGGGAGGGGAGGACGACCUCCUGCUUGCUGUGCUGUUUUGCCAUUGCAGAGCUCAACAACCAAAAGGAUUAAAAUGCCCCGUUGCAAAGCAAUUCAAGGACAUGCUUGAAUUGCUAAUAGCGUCACUAACACGGCAGGGGCCACAUGUGUAACAAAUACCACCAUGUCCCACAAAGGAGUCCUGACUAAGGAAAGCUUUCCUCUGGAAAAGGUCUGCAGGAACCCAAGAGCAGUUGCCCCCUGCAGUGAGGGAGCCUCCUCCCCACGGGCCAGACGCAUGCUCCCGCAGCCCGGGCCUGAGAGUCUGGAGCUUUCUGUGCGCCCCUACUCGCUCCUGGGCAGAGUUUGGUCCUGCUGCCCAUGGUGCCUCUGCCCCAAGGCAGGAGAAGAGCUGCAGAGCAUCGGUGGGGACAACUGAGGCCCAGGAUGUGCCGGCUGGGCAGGGGACUGCAGGUCAGCAGGCCGCUCCAGGCCUGAGUAAGAUCAUCACUCCUGCUCACAGCAACCCGCGAGGUGGGCGAGGGGCGUCACAGAUGAGGAAACCAGCGUUCAGAGAAGGGAAGUGACUCUCCUUCACAGCGCCCUGAUGAAGCGUGAAGGCCAGCGAGGUCUGGGCUAGUUGUGCCCAGGCCCGGUCCUUCUUGAGGCUCACCACCAUGGGCAUCUCCUGAGGAGCUGGAGGAAGCAGGCCAGGCUCUGCUCACACAAAGAGUUCACAGUUUCCGUGAAAGUGUUCCCGGGGGGCCUUUAAACCCCACUCCAAGCUGACCCAGGUGACAGGACUUCCCCUCUGGAAGCUUCGAGAAGGGCCACCGGUCACAGAGGCUCCCACCCUGGGCAGGAAGUCGGCCUUCAGAGGCUCAGAGUCCUUAGCACCUGGGCAUGCUGAGUCCAAGCAGGGACAUCCACACUUCAAGAAGGGGCAAAGCCAUGAAGAGCCCGUGUGGGGAGGGGCUCCCUCCUCCCGGUGCCGCACCGUGGCCCCUCCCGGUGCAUGGUUGGCAUGUGAUUGGCAUGUCCAUCCCUGAGACGCUUCCCAUUUCCUCCUGUUGGGAACCACAGUCCCUUCCUUUCUCCCUGUCACCGGCACCCAGAACUGACCCAAGCAGCACUUCCCUCAUAGGUCCAGCCCAAGACAGCACUUAUUCUUGACUCAGAGCUUUCUGGUUUCUACCUCUGGGUGGUGUGAGGGGCCCUGCCCAAGCUGAAUCCAGAGACCAGGUUCUCAGACCAGCUGAUCCAAACAGCUGGGAGUCGGGGCCAAGUAACUCAACUCCCCUGGUCCUCUGUUCCCCUUCUGUGUUGGAGGAAUGUCUUGAUCCCAAAGUUUCUUCCAAAUAUCAGAUUCUGCGAUUCUGGUCUGUGGUGACAGAGGACAGUCCUCUCUCCUUCUGCCUCCGUGGGGGCAGUGAGCAAGUGACCCCAAUCUGAAGCCGUCUGCAGGGGACGGCACUCUCCUCCCAGAGAGAGGCCACCCUCCCUGGGCCCAAGACUUUCUCAGGGAGGAAGUGGGACUGGGCCCAAGGUUGUCUGCCGGGGCCUGGGAACCCCCCGAUGUGGCAGGGUGGAGAGCAUCGUGUGCCAGCCUGUAGCCCUUCCGGGGCUCCUGGGGCACCGCUGCCAGUGGCUGCUUUCACCAGGACUGAAAGGGCCAGGAUGCCAGCACUUUCCCACAGUCCCUCCCUGCUGGACAGGCACUUGCCAUGGCCGUCACGCAAAGAGCUGUUCUUGUCUUCCUUUACUUCCUUGCCCUCCUUUUAAUCCUCUCUGGCCUGAUGUAGGCAAAUCCCAACAGCCAAGCCUGUCCCCUGGGACCAUUCAGGGUAGGACCCCACUCCAGGCCUGUCCCACCAGGACCCCUCCUCCCCCUCCUCCUACGUUCCCCCCCGUUUCCCAGCCCGAUCUCCCGGAUGAAUCUUCAAAGACUAGAACUGCUGCUUUGGGGGAAGGAGGGAUGAUGGUCCUGAUUCUAAAGGAAUAAGGACGGUAGUUUGAUUCAAUUAGAAAUGAGGCAAGGGAUGGGAGGUGACAGGCUUUUAAAGCACUGGUCCCCUGCGAGGGGUGUCUUGGGUUAUAACUUCCUGUUCCAUCACACCAUCCACCGUGGGCCAUCUAUUCCUCACAGGUGCACUCCCGACCUGCCUUGGAGGACAUGAGGAACCCAGAGGUGGGGGAGCCUGGCCUCCGCUUCUCCCAGCCUCCAGCGGUACCCCAGGGGCAGGAGCAGGCUGCACGGCCGCCGCCUGCAGGUCCCCUGCCCUGCCUUCUCCCCAGCACCCCUCCCUGCCCUUUGCCCAGUCCCACUCGUUUUCCUCUUCUUUGUUUCGCUCUCUGGGGUCCAGUGAAUCUCUGGGCAGUUUCUGGGUCCACCAAAAUAAAACAGUGAUGUCCUCC